This 2902-nucleotide ribosomal RNA is filed under the name Klebsiella pneumoniae. RNAcentral's name for it is "23S ribosomal RNA". It matches the Rfam family "Bacterial large subunit ribosomal RNA". The record is from RNAcentral. Lineage: Bacteria; Pseudomonadati; Pseudomonadota; Gammaproteobacteria; Enterobacterales; Enterobacteriaceae.
GGUUAAGCGACUAAGCGUACACGGUGGAUGCCCUGGCAGUCAGAGGCGAUGAAGGACGUGCUAAUCUGCGAAAAGCGUCGGUAAGGUGAUAUGAACCGUUAUAACCGGCGAUGUCCGAAUGGGGAAACCCAGUGUGAUUCGUCACACUAUCGUUAACUGAAUACAUAGGUUAACGAGGCGAACCGGGGGAACUGAAACAUCUAAGUACCCCGAGGAAAAGAAAUCAACCGAGAUUCCCCCAGUAGCGGCGAGCGAACGGGGAGCAGCCCAGAGUCUGAAUCAGCUUGUGUGUUAGUGGAACGGUCUGGAAAGUCCGACGGUACAGGGUGAUAGUCCCGUACACCAAAAUGCACAGGUUGUGAACUCGAAGAGUAGGGCGGGACACGUGGUAUCCUGUCUGAAUAUGGGGGGACCAUCCUCCAAGGCUAAAUACUCCUGACUGACCGAUAGUGAACCAGUACCGUGAGGGAAAGGCGAAAAGAACCCCGGCGAGGGGAGUGAAAAAGAACCUGAAACCGUGUACGUACAAGCAGUGGGAGCACCUUCGGGUGUGACUGCGUACCUUUUGUAUAAUGGGUCAGCGACUUAUAUUCUGUAGCAAGGUUAACCGUAUAGGGGAGCCGCAGGGAAACCGAGUCUUAACUGGGCGUUAAGUUGCAGGGUAUAGACCCGAAACCCGGUGAUCUAGCCAUGGGCAGGUUGAAGGUUGGGUAACACUAACUGGAGGACCGAACCGACUAAUGUUGAAAAAUUAGCGGAUGACUUGUGGCUGGGGGUGAAAGGCCAAUCAAACCGGGAGAUAGCUGGUUCUCCCCGAAAGCUAUUUAGGUAGCGCCUCGUGAACUCAUCUUCGGGGGUAGAGCACUGUUUCGGCUAGGGGGUCAUCCCGACUUACCAACCCGAUGCAAACUACGAAUACCGAAGAAUGUUAUCACGGGAGACACACGGCGGGUGCUAACGUCCGUCGUGAAGAGGGAAACAACCCAGACCGCCAGCUAAGGUCCCAAAGUCAUGGUUAAGUGGGAAACGAUGUGGGAAGGCACAGACAGCCAGGAUGUUGGCUUAGAAGCAGCCAUCAUUUAAAGAAAGCGUAAUAGCUCACUGGUCGAGUCGGCCUGCGCGGAAGAUGUAACGGGGCUAAACCAUGCACCGAAGCUGCGGCAGCGACACUAUGUGUUGUUGGGUAGGGGAGCGUUCUGUAAGCCUGCGAAGGUGACCUGUGAGGGUUGCUGGAGGUAUCAGAAGUGCGAAUGCUGACAUAAGUAACGAUAAAGCGGGUGAAAAGCCCGCUCGCCGGAAGACCAAGGGUUCCUGUCCAACGUUAAUCGGGGCAGGGUGAGUCGACCCCUAAGGCGAGGCCGAAAGGCGUAGUCGAUGGGAAACAGGUUAAUAUUCCUGUACUUGGUGUUACUGCGAAGGGGGGACGGAGAAGGCUAUGUUAGCCGGGCGACGGUUGUCCCGGUUUAAGCAUGUAGGCUGGUUAUCCAGGCAAAUCCGGAUAAUCAAGGCUGAGGUGUGAUGACGAGGCACUACGGUGCUGAAGUAACAAAUGCCCUGCUUCCAGGAAAAGCCUCUAAGCAUCAGGUAACAUCAAAUCGUACCCCAAACCGACACAGGUGGUCAGGUAGAGAAUACCAAGGCGCUUGAGAGAACUCGGGUGAAGGAACUAGGCAAAAUGGUGCCGUAACUUCGGGAGAAGGCACGCUGGUGUGUAGGUGAAGUCCCUGCGGAUGGAGCUGAGACCAGUCGAAGAUACCAGCUGGCUGCAACUGUUUAUUAAAAACACAGCACUGUGCAAACACGAAAGUGGACGUAUACGGUGUGACGCCUGCCCGGUGCCGGAAGGUUAAUUGAUGGGGUUAUCCGUAAGGAGAAGCUCUUGAUCGAAGCCCCGGUAAACGGCGGCCGUAACUAUAACGGUCCUAAGGUAGCGAAAUUCCUUGUCGGGUAAGUUCCGACCUGCACGAAUGGCGUAAUGAUGGCCAGGCUGUCUCCACCCGAGACUCAGUGAAAUUGAACUCGCUGUGAAGAUGCAGUGUACCCGCGGCAAGACGGAAAGACCCCGUGAACCUUUACUAUAGCUUGACACUGAACAUUGAGCCUUGAUGUGUAGGAUAGGUGGGAGGCUUUGAAGCGUGGACGCCAGUCUGCGUGGAGCCAACCUUGAAAUACCACCCUUUAAUGUUUGAUGUUCUAACGUUGGCCCCUGACCGGGGUUGCGGACAGUGUCUGGUGGGUAGUUUGACUGGGGCGGUCUCCUCCCAAAGCGUAACGGAGGAGCACGAAGGUUAGCUAAUCCUGGUCGGACAUCAGGAGGUUAGUGCAAUGGCAUAAGCUAGCUUGACUGCGAGCGUGACGGCGCGAGCAGGUGCGAAAGCAGGUCAUAGUGAUCCGGUGGUUCUGAAUGGAAGGGCCAUCGCUCAACGGAUAAAAGGUACUCCGGGGAUAACAGGCUGAUACCGCCCAAGAGUUCAUAUCGACGGCGGUGUUUGGCACCUCGAUGUCGGCUCAUCACAUCCUGGGGCUGAAGUAGGUCCCAAGGGUAUGGCUGUUCGCCAUUUAAAGUGGUACGCGAGCUGGGUUUAGAACGUCGUGAGACAGUUCGGUCCCUAUCUGCCGUGGGCGCUGGAGAAUUGAGGGGGGCUGCUCCUAGUACGAGAGGACCGGAGUGGACGCAUCACUGGUGUUCGGGUUGUCAUGCCAAUGGCACUGCCCGGUAGCUAAAUGCGGAAGAGAUAAGUGCUGAAAGCAUCUAAGCACGAAACUUGCCCCGAGAUGAGUUCUCCCUGAGACUUUAAGUCUCCUGAAGGAACGUUGAAGACGACGACGUUGAUAGGCCGGGUGUGUAAGCGCAGCGAUGCGUUGAGCUAACCGGUACUAAUGAACCGUGAGGCUUAACCUU